This is a long non-coding RNA of Melospiza melodia melodia, 979 nucleotides long. RefSeq lists it as uncharacterized. The record is from RefSeq and is a predicted model, not a curated record. NCBI's taxonomy places the organism in Eukaryota, Metazoa, Chordata, Aves, Passeriformes, Passerellidae. The transcript has 5 exons.
UCCAGAAGAGCUGGAGAGGGACUUGGGACAAGGGAUGGAGGGACAGGACCCAGGGAAUGGCUCCCAGUGCCAGAGGGCAGGGAUGGAUGGGACAUUGGGAAAAAUCCUUCCUGUGGAGACUCUGAGAAGCUGUGGCUGCUCCUGGAUCUCUGGAAGUGUCCAAGGCCAGGCUGGACAGGGUUUGGAGCAUCCUGGGGUAGUGGAAGUUGUCCCUGCCCAAGGCAGGGGGUGAACUUGAUGAUCUUCAUGGUUCCUUACAAUCCAAGUCAUCCUGUGACUCCAUGAAAAUACAGCAACUCAUUUCCUUCAGUACCUGCAACAUGAGUAAUACACCUACUAAGAAAAAACUGUGGUAAUUGUAAUGAUUUUCUGAUAAUGUAUCCUCUCAAGGAUUUUUUGUAGGGCAAGAAAUGAAGAAAUAUUUAUUCUUGCUCCAUAGAACUGAAUUAAAACCUUGUCAUUACCACCUGUGAGAGGACAGAACCCCAGUUGCUCUGAGACUACACAAAUUUCCAUCAUUUCACUCGGAAAAAUUUCUGAUAGUUGGGCAAAACUUUCUUAGAAAAAGACGAAGAAACUGUGAGAACAAACAGAAAUAUUGGAUGCUGUACAUCUGUCCUGAUCAUCACGGAAAUCUGGACUGACUGAACUGCACCCUUAUUUCUAAGUAUGGAUAUUGCACGACCAAAUGUGGACUUUCGGAGAGGAUUCACCACCUUUUUUACCAAUACUGGGUUGGAGAACCCUUGAGAUAAACAUGAGAGGAGUAUUCACAGAGAGAAGUGUUUGUUGAUGCACACAUUGCUGUUUUCCCCAGCUGCAAUCAAGGUACAUUUUCCUCUCCAGAAAUUCAUCAACAGCAAGGAUCAACAAGAAGCUGAAGCAUCCUGACAGAUGAAGGACAAUCCAUUCCUUGGCAUUGCAAUGGGUCCUCUCCUCAGGAACUGCCCUGACUCCAAGCAGCACCUUCACUGUGUAA